CACUACGGCCACACCACCCUGAAAAUGCCUGAUCUUGUCUGACCUCAGAAGCCAAACAGGGUCGGGCUUGGUUAGUGCUUGGGUGGGAGACUCACUGGGAAUCCUGGGUGCUGUAGGCU
This 119-nucleotide ribosomal RNA is filed under the name Amazona collaria (yellow-billed parrot). The record is from RNAcentral. Lineage: Eukaryota; Metazoa; Chordata; Aves; Psittaciformes; Psittacidae.